This 353-nucleotide unclassified non-coding RNA is filed under the name Hevea brasiliensis (rubber tree). Lineage: Eukaryota; Viridiplantae; Streptophyta; Magnoliopsida; Malpighiales; Euphorbiaceae. The record is from RNAcentral.
ACAGAGCAAUGAAAAUUGCUUUGGGAGUAGCACUGACUACUGAAUGCAAAUUGAUGUGUGGAAAGGACUAUUGAGCGUUGAGGGACCAUAUUAGCGGCAACUAGAUAAAGAAUUCUAGAAUUAAGAAUUUUAUAUUGUGGGUCCAUUUGGAUAAAUAAGAAGUUGAAAUUAAUAGGUAUGUAAAUUUGAUACUAAUGUUGGUGUUCAUGAUUUUAUACUUUCUGUUUAUGAUGGCACAAAGUCAGUUCGUUUGGAUCAUGGACCUUAUCAAAUGUUCUUUCCAAGAUUGUGCUUAUGGUCGUGGUUCAGUGGGGGUAGUGAAGGGUCGCAUUAUCUCACCAAAUCAGCAGUUU